UACGUAGGAUGCGAGCGUUGUUCGGAUUUAUUGGGCGUAAAGCGUGCGUAGGCGGUUACAAAAGUCUGGUGUUAAAGCUAGGGGCUCAACCCCUGUGAUGCACUGGAAACUAUGUGACUUGAGUGCGGUAGGGGAAGGUGGAAUUCCGAGUGUAGCGGUGAAAUGCGUAGAUAUUCGGAAGAACACCGGUGGCGAAGGCGACCUUCUGGGCCGCAACUGACGCUGAGGCACGAAAGCGUGGGUAGCAAACAGG
Molecule: ribosomal RNA, 253 nt
Filed under: uncultured bacterium
Lineage: Bacteria
Description: partial 16S ribosomal RNA
Rfam family: Bacterial small subunit ribosomal RNA
Source: RNAcentral